CUCAGGGUGGAGAGCGUGGAGCCCGCCAGCCGGGCAGAAGUACUAAACAAGCAAGCACUAGGGGAAAAAACUUCAAAGGUCGAUGCUACAGAAUUUGCCCUGAAGAAUAAAGAUUUGUUGUAUGAAAGGAUGGCAAAACACUUUUGAAUGAGAAGAAUCUGUUCAUGUUAGAGUAAUGUCAAAGUGCUUACAGUGCAGCUGCUUUCUCAUGCAUUCAAGAUCCUUCAUUUGCAACUAUGCUACAUCUCUGUAUUGGUGCAUGCAUAGCCCCACCACUGGAAAGCAAAUUAUCCACCUCAUGCAUGCUUUGGCUGCAGAUUGGAUUGAAUAUGUGAAGAAAACAAUCCCAUGUGUACCUGCUCAGAAGUGAGUCCCAUAGAGUUCGUUGAGUUUAGGGCCACCACCAUAGUCUUAAUGAUAAAAUAUCAAUAUGGGAGAUGUAGUCCUUUUCUUAAAAGGAAGAAUUAGCAUUUCAUAACUAAUGAAUGGCAAAUACAGAUUUUCAGUUGGGAGCUGCAUGUACAGCUUAGACCAGCAGAUCAUCUUGCCAUGCAUCAAGGGAUAUAUUAGGAUUUGCAUUAGAAAGCUUCUGUAAGCUUCUUUUCUACUAUGUAAUUUUAUGUGAAUUGAGCUUGCUAAUGGCAAGCAAGAAAUUAUAUAUAUGCGCUCCAUUAUGGAUAUCCUGCAUACUUUAUUGUAAAGUCUAAUUUUACAGAGGUUCUUGUGCUUACUCUAAUACACAAAAUCUAGUAAAGAUGCAUGAAACAGAAGAAAUUUGUGAUCCUGUUGGGUAGAUUUUUUAAAAGACUGAUUAUUACCCAAAUUUUUUUCUGCAGUUAUGAGACAAAUAUAUGAUAUGUGCUUUUUACAGAAUUCUUUUUUCAUAAUUUUGAGAUGAGUAUGUGAUAUAUACGGUACAUUUUACAGAAUUCUUUUCUAUCUGCUGUAUGUCUGUAUUUUCUAGGGAAUGCUUAAUAUGCUUCUCCCAUUAUAAGAAUCUUUCACUAUGAUGAUAAAGGGUGAGUGGGACCAGACCUGAAGUAUUUGGGGUCUUCCAGACAAGGCUUUUAUUGUGUAAUCAUCCUGCCUCAUUCCUGGGAUAUUGUGAGGGGCACAGUUGAUGAUGUGUUUUGUUUAUAACUUGCUUUUUUUCUUUUUUAGUUACACAGAAAAUCCAUGAAAGAGGAAAAGAAGAAAUACAGUAGUUGGUUGCAAGUAUCAACUUUUGAUUGAGCUUCGGGAAGGAUACCUCCUCAUGCUACCAAUCUCUCUUUCUGUCUGUCUCUACUUUAGAAAAAAAAAGUGAUCUGGGGCAGGGGAAGAGUAAGAAAAUCAGGGACAAAUAGAAAACUUUCAUGGUUAGGAAUCUAAUAUGUAUGUAAAAAUAAGAGUUGAGAAUAAACAGUGUUGUUCCACCCUAUCA
RNAcentral lists this long non-coding RNA (1423 nucleotides) under Pogona vitticeps (central bearded dragon). RNAcentral describes it as "lncRNA (ENSPVIG00000014051.1)". The record is from RNAcentral. Lineage: Eukaryota; Metazoa; Chordata; Lepidosauria; Squamata; Agamidae.